This 789-nucleotide long non-coding RNA is filed under the name Marmota monax (woodchuck). Lineage: Eukaryota; Metazoa; Chordata; Mammalia; Rodentia; Sciuridae. The record is from RNAcentral.
CCGAAAUCUCGAGUUUAAAGAAAUAUAGAAAUAGCGAUGGUAUGAUUUAGCUGUGUGACACUUCUCUUGGGUUGGACUGGGAAGAUAGGUUAGAGAAUGCUUAACACUUUUGGCAGGUUUCUUCUCCUCCUUCGCAGAUUGCUUCUUAAAGGAUGGGGGAAAAUGUAGCUACAAAGAAAAACAUACUUUAGGUUAAGGAAUAGAAAUAACUGCAGUUUCUUGAAACUCUCGGACGUUUGAUGCUUUGCUUGUGUUUGUAAACUCUCGUCUUUUUCUACAUGUAGGCUUUAAAAAUUAACUAGUUAAUUGGUUUCACAGUGUAGUAUUGUAGUUCUUUCCUGAGAAUGCAGAAACUUGGGUAAAUUAACUCUUAACCUAUACAUAUAUCUUCAACAGUAAAUGUUGAGUGUGGCACAAAAAAAUAGGGUGUAUCACAUUGCUUUUCAAAUUGAUUGGUGGCACAUUAGCUAUAGCUCUGGAACUUAAUUUUUUUCCAAAAGAGAUUUGGAAAAGAAAAUAAAAUACUAGGAAAACAUACCUUCCAAGGAAUGGAGCAAUUACUGUUGCUCAAUACAAAGUGGACAGCUAGCACACUUUUGACUUUUUCUAGGUAAAAUCACAUCAAACUUAAAAAUGGCUUCACUGACACAAUCAUAUUUAAAAAAAAAAGACAAGAAUUAUGCUAGUGGCAAAUAUCCUGUUGUCAAUCAGUCUUGCCCUAUCAGAGAAUCCAGUUAGUUGUAGAAUAGAGAUGCAGGAGAUCAAGGAAUUCAGUAAGUUAAAAUGGAG